Molecule: ribosomal RNA, 274 nt
Filed under: uncultured bacterium
Lineage: Bacteria
Description: partial 16S ribosomal RNA
Rfam family: Bacterial small subunit ribosomal RNA
Source: RNAcentral
AUACGGAGGGUGCGAGCGUUAAUCGGAAUUACUGGGCGUAAAGCGCGCGUAGGCGGUUUGGUCAGUCGGAUGUGAAAGCCCUGGGCUCAACCUGGGAAUGGCAUUCGAUACUGCCUGACUAGAGUAUGGUAGAGGGAAGUGGAAUUUCCGGUGUAGCGGUGAAAUGCGUAGAUAUCGGAAGGAACACCAGUGGCGAAGGCGACUUCCUGGGCCAAUACUGACGCUGAGGUGCGAAAGCGUGGGGAGCAAACAGGAUUAGAAACCCCGGUAGUCC